RNAcentral lists this ribosomal RNA (433 nucleotides) under uncultured bacterium. RNAcentral's name for it is "partial 16S ribosomal RNA". It matches the Rfam family "Bacterial small subunit ribosomal RNA", at positions 29 to 507 of the family's 1533-position model. The record is from RNAcentral.
AACGAACGCUGGCGGCAUGCCUAACACAUGCAAGUCGAACGAGACCUUCGGGUCUAGUUGCGCACGGGUGCGUAACACGUGGGAACCUGCCCUUAGGUUCGGAAUAACUCCCCGUAGGGGGUGCUCAUACCGGAUAAUGUCUUCGCACCAAAGAUUUAUCGCCUUUGGAUGGGCCCGCGUUGGAUUCGCUAGUUGGUAGGGUACAAGCCUCCCAAGGCGAGGAUCCAUAGCUGGUCUGAGAGGAUGAUAAGCCACACUGGGACUGAGACACGGCCCAGACUGCGACGGGAGGGAGCAGUGGGGAAUAUUGGACGAUGGGCGAAAGCCUGAUCCAGCAAUGCCGGGUGAGUGAGGAAGGCGUUAGGGUUGUAAAGCUCUUUUACCCGGGAUGAUAAUGACAGUACCGGGUGAAGAAGCUCCGGCUAACUCCGUG